GACGAACGCUGGCGGCGUGCCUAAUACAUGCAAGUAGAACGCUGAAGGAAGGAGCUUGCUCUUUCUGGAUGAGUUGCGAACGGGUGAGUAACGCGUAGGUAACCUGCCUGGUAGCGGGGGAUAACUAUUGGAAACGAUAGCUAAUACCGCAUAAAAUUGAUUAUUGCAUGAUAGUCAAUUAAAAGGUGCAACUGCACCACUACCAGAUGGACCUGCGUUGUAUUAGCUAGUUGGUGGGGUAACGGCUCACCAAGGCGACGAUACAUAGCCGACCUGAGAGGGUGAUCGGCCACACUGGGACUGAGACACGGCCCAGACUCCUACGGGAGGCAGCAGUAGGGAAUCUUCGGCAAUGGACGGAGGUCUGACCGAGCAACGCCGCGUGAGUGAAGAAGGUUUUCGGAUCGUAAAGCUCUGUUGUAAGAGAAGAACGAGUGUGAGAGUGGGAAGUUCACACUGUGACGGUAUCUUACCAGAAAGGGACGGCUAACUACGUG
This 497-nucleotide ribosomal RNA is filed under the name uncultured bacterium. RNAcentral describes it as "partial 16S ribosomal RNA". It matches the Rfam family "Bacterial small subunit ribosomal RNA", at positions 28 to 507 of the family's 1533-position model. The record is from RNAcentral.